UACGAACUGUGCAAACGUUAUUCGGAAUCACUGGGCUUAAAGGGUGCGUAGGCGGCUUGUUAAGUAGGGUGUGAAAUCCCCCGGCUCAACCGGGGAAUUGCGCUCUAAACUGGCGAGCUGGAGUGAGAUAGGGGUGUGUGGAACUUCCGGUGGAGCGGUGAAAUGCGUAGAUAUCGGGAGGAACACCUGUGGCGAAAGCGGCGCACUGGACCACAACUGACGCUGAGGCGCGAAAGCUAGGGGAGCAAACAGG
RNAcentral lists this ribosomal RNA (253 nucleotides) under uncultured bacterium. RNAcentral describes it as "partial 16S ribosomal RNA". It matches the Rfam family "Bacterial small subunit ribosomal RNA", at positions 524 to 776 of the family's 1533-position model. The record is from RNAcentral.